Oncorhynchus keta (chum salmon) is the source of this 740-nucleotide long non-coding RNA. RefSeq lists it as uncharacterized. NCBI's taxonomy places the organism in Eukaryota, Metazoa, Chordata, Actinopteri, Salmoniformes, Salmonidae. The record is from RefSeq and is a predicted model, not a curated record. The transcript is spliced from 2 exons.
UAUUUAUCUUUGUAUAGUAUACAAUCAAGUAAUCAAUCAAUGUGCCUGAGUAAACAUAGAUAUUAAAACAAACUAUUCUAAAAAAUCUACCUGCAUUGAAUGGAAACAUUUCUUGAAUCAAAUGUCUUGUUCAGUUGUGCUGAAAUGUAGGUUUGAUUGAAUUUAUUUGACAGUCUGUAAAAUCCAUACAUAAGGGAGCUCCAGCUGGUGACGCCUCCACAGACAAUUGAAGGAAAUCAUCAAGGAUAACACAAUACAUCUUAACAGCUUAUUUCCAUUGUGGUCCUUCUGAAGAGGGAAAGUGUAGCCUAAUGAACCUAAUGACUGGUUCUGCGAAUCUGUAAAGAACACAAACCUGUUCUUUGAAUGUCCUGGAUGGGAGACCAGAUGCUGCAGCAAAAACACUGACACCAGUAUCUAACAGUGGUGUGGUUGUGUGGUACGGGGGAAGCAUCCACUUCCUUUCACAGUAGAGGAAGUAAAAAUGACACAAGCAAACAUGAACCCAGUGUUGUUGUGUGUUUCUUUAACCCUGAAUGGUCAAUGAUAAAGUCGAUCUAGAAUAGAACAGACAAGAUAUUCAUCUGCUGAAUUGUUGCUCCUAAAAAUCAUUAUUUAAUAACUGUUGUGUUGAAUGUCACUGCUCACUCAGAUUACACUCACCUUGUGGUCAGUUUGAGUGCAUGAGUCAUGCAUGUUAUCAUUCUCUUGUUCUUCCUAAUAAAAUGUGCAUUUGUUCA